Pyrgilauda ruficollis (rufous-necked snowfinch) is the source of this 597-nucleotide long non-coding RNA. RefSeq lists it as uncharacterized. The transcript has 3 exons. NCBI's taxonomy places the organism in Eukaryota, Metazoa, Chordata, Aves, Passeriformes, Passeridae. The record is from RefSeq and is a predicted model, not a curated record.
CCGAGGCGGAGCGGGGCAGCACCGGCAGGGCGGGGCAGACAGGGAUCGGGACAGGAGAGCGGUCCGCGAGCGAGAACGGAUCAGGGAUCAGCGGGGCAGGACGGGACCAGGCCCGGGACACGGCAGAGUGGCGCGGAGCAUCACGUAGUAGCCACAGCCGCAGCCCCUGCCGGGAGUGUGGAGCAAGAUUGGAGUCCUUCCCUGCGCCCACUGCUGCCGCUUUAGCUGGUGUCCAUCUGGAAGAGAGGGAGGAAUGUCACCACAGCCCUGGCACAGUAGCACCCCUGCACCCGAGCCCACCCAGCCCUGCGGGCAGCCCGGCUCUGCUGAGCCCCAAGCACGGGGGCACAGGGACAGGGGAACUGGAGGUCUUUGUUGAAGAUGAAUCAAAGUGGCAACAAUUAAAAAUACUGCAGACCCCAGACACCUUUCUCAGAGGAGAAUGACCACGUGAGUGCAGGGAUCCACGAGACCACGGCACUUUUACUGCUGGACUUGUGCCCAUCAGGAACAUACCCCAAAAAUGGAGCCCAACAAAGUCCUCUGCUGAGGUCUGCCCUUUGCUGCCACAAAGGCUGGAAAUAAAGAGGCAGCAAC